Molecule: transfer RNA, 62 nt
Filed under: Ictidomys tridecemlineatus (thirteen-lined ground squirrel)
Lineage: Eukaryota; Metazoa; Chordata; Mammalia; Rodentia; Sciuridae
Description: Spermophilus tridecemlineatus (thirteen-lined ground squirrel) tRNA
Rfam family: tRNA
About the family: Transfer RNA (tRNA) molecules are approximately 80 nucleotides in length.
Source: Rfam by way of RNAcentral
GGGGAUUUAGCUUAGUUGGUAAAGUGUUUGCCUCAUAUGCACAAGGGCAUGGGCAAUCCCCA